AGUGACGAGCGAUGAUUUUAAAGAGCAGAAUAAAAGGUUUUCCCGUGCCUGCCCCACAGCCCCUCCAGCUCGAAUAAUGGAGAACUGUCAAUGCACUCCGCGAGCGGUGGCCCAUUGUACGCAGCUGAUGGCGAGGAGGCGACUGGGGGUAGCAGGGGCUCCUUGCCCUCGUCCCUAUGCCCAAAUAAACGCGCAAACGCGCUCCCGUCUUCUGGUCAGUUAAAAGGUGAAACGAACACGAUUAAAAUAGACCAAAAGAAAAGAAAGAAAAGAAAACCUUUCUAUGUACAGAUUCUAAAUCGUACUCCCCAUACAGUCAGAGGCAGGGAGUCGAGGGCAGAGGCAGCAGGCGGAGAGAGGGAGAUAGGGCGAGGGAAGGAGAACGCGGAGAGAGACGAAGGGAGUGGGAGACCAGCGACAGCGAGCGCCAGGGCACCGCAGGCACACUGGAUGCCCAGUCCGCCGGCCCAGCCGCCCUCGGACCCUGGACCGUGCGUCGUGGGCACCAGAAACGAGACUCGGCCAAAUCCUGCCUCACCAGCAGGUAGAUGAAACUCAAGAGAAAAGGUGUGGAUAAAUGAAACUAGCCCAUGAUGAACCUGUUUUCUCCGUGACCACAAUAUUAACCAGGAUGAAUGGCGAUACACUGCCUCUAGGACUGGGACAGAUAGCCACUGAGUACCUGCUUCAAAUCACCCUGCACGUUUUCUCUUUGGAAAGAUAAGCACUGGAGAACCAUCUCGUUACCUUCAGCAGAAAUGGAAACAAAUCAAGACAUUAAGAAUGCCGCAGUGGACAGCAGUUAUGCAAGGUUCAGCAGAGGAAGUUUUCAAGAUGGUGUGCCUCACUAGCCAGAAAUCAG
RNAcentral lists this long non-coding RNA (862 nucleotides) under Homo sapiens (human). Its description in RNAcentral is "non-protein coding NR2F1-AS1:28". Lineage: Eukaryota; Metazoa; Chordata; Mammalia; Primates; Hominidae. The record is from RNAcentral.